AUGAAGAUCGCCAACAUUGCCAAUGUAAGCCUAUCGGGAGGCGUCAGUCAUCUGUACAACACUGAUUUCAUCUUUCCUCAUUCUGCUGACGAACCGGUUGGAACCGAGACCAGCAAAAGCAAGAAAUCAAAGAAUGCCGCUGUGGGACCUGGUAUUCCUCGGAGCAGCCAUGCGGAAGUGGCCACCAGACAAGCCAGAGGGACAUCAGCUCCAAGCCAUGCGUCGUCCCAGGCUGGUCCUUCCCGAACAACGUGAAGAAAGUCAGAAAGCAGUAGCUUCUGCUAAAAGAAUGAAGUAUAAAGAACUGGAAAGAGCAAACGGACACUAGUUUUAACACUGAGCUAAACAUUUGUGCAGGCUUUAACUCUGCCAGUGUGACCUAAACCAGAGAAUAAUUUAUUCUAUAAUUUCACAUAUGUAUAUAUUCAUAUCUUAGAUCUCAGGCUAAAAUGAACGAACUAAAAAAAUUAUUAAGUUUAUGAAAUAUGCUUUCUUUCCUGUCGAUCUAGAACUGAACAAGGUAUCUUGAAUGAAAAAUCAGUCUUAUGUAUGAGCAUUCCCAGGGUUUUUUUAAAAAUGCAAAAUACUCUUGGAGGAAGCAGCUGAGAGCAAAAAAGGUGUUAUUUAUGUGCUUCAAAAAUGCUUCGUUUCCCAGGCUGCUUUCCCAUCUAUUAGGAGGGGGGCAUCUUGAGUAGACAACAAUUGGGAUUUUUUUCAAAGCAGCAAUUGGUUCCAUUACAUCUUUUCAUGUUUAAAAAGUAAUUCAUGGCAGCGGCAGCAGAAAUCACUUCUUUGUUACUUGCCACUUUUCCAUUUUGGGAUUAAUAAAGAAUAUCCAAAGAAAAACCAUAAAAUAAAUCCACUCACAAUUCUAAAAACUGGUCUUUGGGAAUAAUAAGGAAGAGUGAUGUCCCUCCCUCAUUUAUUAUGUUCUUCCUAUUCAGCACAUUACUUUUGCAAGGUCAUUUCAUUACAAUCUUGAUUCACCUCCCUGUAAUAAUGAUGUAACUAUGAUUAUAUAGUUGGCCUUCCA
This 1033-nucleotide long non-coding RNA is filed under the name Anolis carolinensis (green anole). RNAcentral's name for it is "lncRNA (ENSACAG00000041409.1)". The record is from RNAcentral. Lineage: Eukaryota; Metazoa; Chordata; Lepidosauria; Squamata; Anolidae.